AAGCAGGGGAUCGUAAGGCCUUGCGCUUUUGGAGCGGCCGAUGUCUGAUUAGCUAGUUGGUGGGGUAAAGGCCUACCAAGGCGACGAUCAGUAGUUGGUCUGAGAGGACGACCAGCCACACUGGGACUGAGACACGGCCCAGACUCCUACGGGAGGCAGCAGUGGGGAAUUUUGGACAAUGGGCGAAAGCCUGAUCCAGCAAUGCCGCGUGAGUGAAGAAGGCCUUCGGGUUGUAAAGCUCUUUCAGUCGAGAAGAAAAGGUUGUGAUGAAUAAUCACAACUCAUGACGGUAUCGACAGAAGAAGCACCGGCUAACUACGUGCCAGCAGCCGCGGUAAUACGUAGGGUGCAAGCGUUAAUCGGAAUUACUGGGCGUAAAGGGUGCGCAGGCGGCUUUGUAAGUCAGAUGUGAAAUCCCCGGGCUUAACCUGGGAAUUGCGUUUGAAACUACAAAGCUAGA
RNAcentral lists this ribosomal RNA (460 nucleotides) under uncultured beta proteobacterium. RNAcentral describes it as "bacterial SSU rRNA". It matches the Rfam family "Bacterial small subunit ribosomal RNA", at positions 202 to 645 of the family's 1533-position model. The record is from RNAcentral. Lineage: Bacteria; Pseudomonadati; Pseudomonadota; Betaproteobacteria.